This 84-nucleotide microRNA precursor is filed under the name Bombyx mori (domestic silkworm). RNAcentral describes it as "mir-2807 microRNA precursor family". It matches the Rfam family "mir-2807 microRNA precursor family". Lineage: Eukaryota; Metazoa; Arthropoda; Insecta; Lepidoptera; Bombycidae. The record is from Rfam by way of RNAcentral.
UUAGAUCAUAUUUGUAUGGAAAGGGAUCGUUCGCCUACGUUUGCCGCUAGGGGCGCUGUUCCAACUGCAUACAAAAUUGGGUUA